RNAcentral lists this long non-coding RNA (3178 nucleotides) under Arabidopsis thaliana (thale cress). RNAcentral's name for it is "ncRNA (AT4G38552)". The record is from RNAcentral. Lineage: Eukaryota; Viridiplantae; Streptophyta; Magnoliopsida; Brassicales; Brassicaceae.
CACGCAUGCAUAUUAUUACAAUGUAUUGAGAUGCUUGACUCUGAAACAAUCUACGCUUCUGCAAUAGCUGACCUUGACUCUCAACAUUCAACAUAAAAGCUUUUUAAAUCUUUUUAAGAAUUACACUAAUGGCCCCAAACUUUAAAUUUAUAAACAUUUCAUGUCAAUAGAAAAUAAUUGAAUAAUGAGAUCCAAAACGGAAGAAAUUGGAGACGGAGCUAAAGGUGGAGAAGGACGGCUUCUCCUUGGAAUUUGUGGACUUUGGACUGGAAGAGGUCGAGAUUCUUGUUCAAUUUCGAACCUUUCAUCUCCAGCUGCCCUAGCCUCCCUGCGACCACCGUCACCUUCUCUCUGCAUUCUUUGAUUUCCUUCUCCCUCUUCACCAGCUCCGCCGUCAUCUCCUCCAUCUCCCCCUUUUUCGCCGUCAGAUCUCUCUCGCACACCUCUUUCUCCACCUUCGCCGUGUCGUACUGCCCGAAAUACUCCACCGCCUCCGCCAGUUCCGUUACCGCUGUCUUUAGCCACGACACGUUGAUUUUCACCGACUCCAUGUCUUUCACCACCGCCGCGAUCUCCGCCACGCGCGUUUUCGUCAAAUCCCUCAGAACCGUCUUUUUCAGCUCCAUCACCACAGCGGCUAGGGAUUCCAGGUAAUAAGACCGAGUUGCCAUUGCUUGCAGCUUCGAGGAGGCUGCGAUGUCGCCGUGCUUGUCGAUGAUCGCCUGCAGGGUUUCCGACACGCUCUGCCUCACUCUGUAAUUCGCGACGGAUACGUAAGCCUCGGAUAUCAUUGAUUGACUCUCUUCCUUGCCGCUUUCGUAGUUCUUGAGUCCUCGCAUUUUGGUAAUCUCCUGCAUUGUGAAGCUUUGUGACUCGUCAGGCAGCUCCGGCGGCUCGAACUGCUUGUCUUGCUCAUAGGUCUCGGCCGCAACUAUCUGGUAGUUGUGGUGAACAGGCUGCAGGUUUAAAGCAUUGUCAUUUCUUUGUUUUUUAGGCAUUUCAGAAUCAUUAGUGACUGUGAGAGAGAGAGAGAGAGAGUUGGGAAAGGAUUCACACCGUGCUGUUCUCGGAUACGAUCCUGGAACGAAGUGGGCUGCGGAUUUCUGGAUAGAGGUAGGUGGAGUGAUUAUCGUCGUCGCUGGAUGAAUAGUAUGGUCCAUGAACGGGACUCGGAGGAGCGCUCUUCUGGUGUAUUAAGUCGCCAUCUAGCUCAUACAUUGCCUCGAAAUCCUCGUUAUCCUGGUGGCUUCUACGAUGGUCAGGCUGCACAAUUAGAGAGAAAAUUCAAUAUAUGUGACUCACUGUCAAGAGGACGUUUUUUAUCACUAGGAAGAAGCUGAAACAAAAACAAUGAGCCAGACUUAAGAUUUUUUGAGUACCGUUCUGUAUGGUUGUGGUGGUGGUGGUGAAUGGCUUGCUGCUGGAUGCAAUGGGCUAGGUGGAGAGCUGUUUCGUGGUGUUACAUCGUCAUCUUGCUCAUAAAAGUCCUCAAUUUGCUCUUUACCAUGGUUACUACGUUGAUCAGACUGCAGCAUAACAAGAACAUAUUCUAUUGUCAGUCUAAGUGACUCACUAGAAAGAGAAUUUGAUUUACUUAUCCCCAAAAAGAAGCCAGUAUCGAGUUUUUGAGUACCGACCGUUUUGUAUGCUGCUGGAUGAAACGGGCUCGGUGGAGAGCUGUUUCGCGGUGUGACAUCACCAUCUUGCUCGUACAGGUCCUCAAAUUGCUCUUUAUCAUAGUUACUACGACGAUCAGGCUGCAAUUAGAGAGAGAGAGUUUAUGUCAUCUAUGUGGCUCAUCGUGUACUCAAGAAUCACGAGCAAGACUUACCGUUCUGUAUGGUGGUGGAGAGCGGCUUCCAGCUGGAUGGAAUGGGCUCCCUGGAGCGCUAUUCUGCAGCAUGGUGUUGGCCUCAGGCUCAUACAUGUCGUAGUGGUCUCUGCGGCGAUCAGGCUGAAAUCAAGCAUUUAAAAAGCAAUGCAUUCUAUUUAGUGAUUGAUGGGUUUGAAUACGAAGCAGGUCAUCAGAAGUUUAGGUUAUUAGUACCGUGUGGAAUGGAGAUGGAGAAGGGCUUCUGAAUGGGUGAAAUGGGCUCGCAUUGCUUCGGGUAUCUGCUUCAUACAUUCGAUCCUGGUGUUCUCGACGAUACUCGGUUGAUUUCCUAGGACGUUCAGGCUGCAGGUUUAGAGAGAAUGGUAUCAGGAAACAAACGGUGGAGACAGUAGAAGACUCGAAUCAGAAGAAGCAGAAAGUACCGUGCGGUUUCCAGCUGGAUGAUAUGGGCUGGAAGGAGCGUUGGUCUCUGGCUCAUAACUCAUGGCCUCCAUUCUUUCUCUACCGUGGUCUCGACGAUGGUCGGGCUGCAAUUGAGGAGAAGGCAAACACAGUAUUAGAUACGUAUACUACGUUUGUUUCAAAUAAACUCAAUUGGUUUUGGGGAAUGAAACAGGGGAUAGAUGAGUACCGUGCCGUAUCCAUACACGGGAGGCCUAGGGUGGGAGUUGGGGACGCGUUCAGAGGCAGGCUGUUUCCAGUAUGGUCUUUGUUCAUUGGACAUGGGGAAAUCGUACUCUGUUUCGGCUCUUUUGUUUGAAAGAUACGAUGGGGGCGGGGAUCUAGCGCCGGGGGGAUGAGCAGGGCUGCCCGGAGUGCUCUUGCUGACAGUUUUCUUGCCAAAGAGUCCUGAAGAGAAAGUUUGGAUAUGCUAAGAGGAUGAUGAUAGUAAAUACUAAAUAGGAUCAGUUUGAGAAAGUCUAGUCUUUCACCAUCCCCAGCGAGAGUUAAACAUUCCGGCUAUUAUCUUAGAUUCCCAAAAAAGGGAGUUACCUGAUGAUUUUUUGCUAUCUUUCUUAGCUUUGCUUGAAGUGAAGAAGUCCAUAUUGGGUUGAGGCAAAGGAUGGGAUUGAGAAAUGAUCUGUGGUUAGACCGGAACAUAAGAAGGCAUGCAAAUUAGUACCUUGGUUGUAUAGUAAUUAUACAUAUGUUAGGAAUUCAUAAGAGUGAGUACCUUGCUGCUGGAGGAUCUAAAGUUGCCGGAGAAGACUUUUUGGUUCGUUUCGUUUCUGUUCUUCAACGCGUCAUACUACGACUGGUAUAUAUGAUUCGAUAGAUAUAAUGGAGUCAGAGGCCCCUUUAAGUCUGUGUAUUAUGGAUAUUUUUAUAAACAAGAAAAUGGCA